RNAcentral lists this ribosomal RNA (301 nucleotides) under uncultured bacterium. RNAcentral describes it as "partial 16S ribosomal RNA". It matches the Rfam family "Bacterial small subunit ribosomal RNA", at positions 509 to 807 of the family's 1533-position model. The record is from RNAcentral.
CAGUCGCCGCGGGAACACGGAGGGGGCUAGCGUUGUUCGGAAUUACUGGGCGUAAAGCGCACGUAGGCGGCUUUGUAAGUUAGAGGUGAAAGCCCGGAGCUCAACUCCGGAAUUGCCUUUAAGACUGCAGAGCUAGCAGGUGAGAGAGGUGAGUGGAAUUCCGAGUGUAGAGGUGAAAUUCGUAGAUGUUCGGAAGAACACCAGUGGCGAAGGCGGCUCACUGGCUCAUACUGGACGCUGAGGUGCGAAAGCGAGGGGAGCAAACAGGAUUAGAUACCCCCGUAGUCCCUGUCUCUUAUAC